RNAcentral lists this ribosomal RNA (470 nucleotides) under Cylindrotis quadrasi. Its description in RNAcentral is "partial 16S ribosomal RNA". It matches the Rfam family "Bacterial large subunit ribosomal RNA", at positions 1796 to 2608 of the family's 2925-position model. Lineage: Eukaryota; Metazoa; Mollusca; Gastropoda; Ellobiida; Ellobiidae. The record is from RNAcentral.
UCGCCUGUUUUACAAAAACAUAGCCCUGGGAGUGCGUCCAGGGUAAGCCCUGCCCGGUGAUAAUUUUAACGGCCGCAGUACCCUGACUGUGCUAAGGUAGCGUAAUCAGUUGACUUUUAAAUGGAGUCGAGAAUGAAGGGGUCCAUGGGGGUAGACUGUCUCUCGGCCUGCUAACUUGAAUUUGAUUUAUAGGGUGAAAAGGCCCUAAGGCAGAAAAAAGACGAGAAGACCCUUAGAGUCUUUAUGAUUUAGUAUAGUGUUAACUAAUUAUUUUUGUUGGGGCGACAAAGAGGCAGCAUAACCCUCUACUCUAGGAAGAUACAAGACGACUGUGGUAAGGAAGAUAAGACUACCUUAGGGAUAACAGCAUAAUGUUUUUAAGCUUGUGACCUCGAUGUUGGACUAGGAACUUUAUGACUAGCCGUCAAAAAAGAGGGUUCUGUUCGAACCGCUUCUCCUACGUGAUCUGA